This 332-nucleotide non-coding RNA is filed under the name Pongo abelii (Sumatran orangutan). The record is from RNAcentral. Lineage: Eukaryota; Metazoa; Chordata; Mammalia; Primates; Hominidae.
GCUGGAGUGCAGUGGCAUAAUCAUGGCUCAUUGCAGCUCGACCUCCCAGGCUCAGGUUAUCCACCUGCCUCGGUCUCCCAAAUGCCAACUGUGGGGGGAAUAAAGUUGCUUAGCAACGUGGAAAUGGGAGAAGCUAUAAGGCUUCCCAGUGUUCAUGCGAUCGUCCCUAUUUCUGUGCCUCUUCCACCUUUCAUCCCAGAGGUAACUGGUGCUGUGAAUUCUGAAAUGUGUCAGACCCACACUGCAGUCUGAAGGCUCUCUCGACCUACGCUUGCUCCAUCUCCCGUUUAUCCUCCAUUUAUGUUUCCUCUAAUAAAUUCUUGCACAUCUAA